This 468-nucleotide ribosomal RNA is filed under the name uncultured bacterium. RNAcentral's name for it is "partial 16S ribosomal RNA". It matches the Rfam family "Bacterial small subunit ribosomal RNA", at positions 28 to 507 of the family's 1533-position model. The record is from RNAcentral.
GACGAACGCUGGCGGCGUGCUUAACACAUGCAAGUCGAACGGAAAGGCCCUGCUUUUGUGGGGUGCUCGAGUGGCGAACGGGUGAGUAACACGUGAGUAACCUGCCCUUGACUUUGGGAUAACUUCAGGAAACUGGGGCUAAUACCGGAUAGGAGCUCCUGCUGCAUGGUGGGGGUUGGAAAGUUUCGGCGGUUGGGGAUGGACUCGCGGCUUAUCAGCUUGUUGGUGGGGUAGAGGCUUACCAAGGCUUUGACGGGUAGCCGGCCUGAGAGGGUGACCGGCCACAGUGGGACUGAGAUACGGCCGAGACUCCUACGGGAGGCAGCAGUGGGGAAUAUUGCACAAUGGGCGGAAGCCUGAUGCAGCAACGCCGCGUGCGGGAUGACGGCCUUCGGGUUGUAAACCGCUUUCGCCUGUGACGAAGCGUGAGUGACGGUAAUGGGUAAAGAAGCACCGGCUAACUACGUG